AGCCAUUGUUAACUAACUUAGCAGCUAGAUAGCUAACCUCUAUUAACCAAGUCCUGUUUCCAACGCGGAUUAAAGACUACAUGGGGGUAACAGAGGAAGGCAACGUCCAGGCCCAGUUCUUCUAUGAACCCAUUCACCAGGCAUUAGAUGUGACGCCAAAGGAGAAGACAGACUUGCUGCUAGACUACAUACAGGGGGUCUCCCACUACUCUCUGUGAAGGCUGAAGCCCAGGGUGCCCUGAUCUUUCAAUCAUGGAUACUGUAGUGUUUAUCAUAGAGACCCUCCUGUUCCUAUCAGCCCAGGCCCUGCUCCAUCCCUGCACUGAGACUGUGAAGGGUCUGGGCUGCAGACUGGAUCCCUGACUGGAGCCUCCGUCUCUCUGAUGACCACCAGGACUGAGAUUGUUCAGUCCACCUGUCGUGUUGUGGUGAAGUCUCUGUCCUUCGCGGUUGGGUCCUGGUCCCGACUCUGGAAGGAAGAGUGGUGGCUCCUGAUCCGGGUCCAGGGUUUGUGACCAACAUCCUCAGAGGUCCACUCUCUCCCACCUGUAACACUGGAUAUCAGCAGGUCUUCAGGGACAGCAGACUGUAAAAAAAGUUUAUACAGAAAAGCAUAAAGGGUUAUAAGACAUUCUUUGCUGUACAUACAGAAGCAUGACAUGUUAUAAAAUGUUAACCACAGCCAAGCCCAUCUCUAAAACUGUGAUUCAAGUACCUAACAAUAUGGAGCCAUUGGAGUUAAUUAUAUAAAAAAAUGUCCAUAUGUUUUGAUUCAAGAAUUUAAGUAUAAUGUUUUGAUUAGACUGAUUGAUUAGACAUAAGGGAAACUCAGUCCCUGUAACGAUACAAAAAUAUCCAAGUCAGUCAGCACAGUGUCAAUUUUGUAUUUAAUUUGAUCAAAAUGGUCAUACACUAACACCUGAGGUACAGUAUUUUUAUUGCACAAAUUAAUAUGUAAAGUAGAAUAACUUCUCACUAUGUUAACUCUAGAAAUCUGUUACCCUCGACCAGUAUCUAAAGGGACAAAGUUGCCACUCUUCAUCAGUGAAGCAUUUUUAGACACCAUCACCUUAUCAUCUACUCUGCCUCAUCAUACUCAUUCUUUCCUCAGUUCUCCUCAUCCAGUUCCCUACUACACCCAAAACCAACAGAAUUAACUACAAACAAACUAGUACUACAUCACUAUAGUCAAUACAUGGGCGGUGUGCAUUUUCUGCUGGUGUACCCUGAGGUAGCCCCUCUCUGAGAACCUCUUCCCGCAGUGCGUACAGACGAACAGCCUUUCUCCCGUGUGGACCUUCAGGUGCCUCUUCAGUUGGUGCUGGUGAGAGAACCUCACACAAGGGGCAGCCAAACUAUUUCUCCCCUGUGUAGAUCCUCUGGUGGAUCUACGCCUGUUUACAAAAACGGAAGGCUUUCCCAUAGAAUGAACAUGGGAAGCGCCAUCAGUCUCCCUUCUCCUCCUGGAAGAGACAAGUGAUACAGAUUACACAGACAUACACUCCCUCAGGUAUGGCCUUUAUCUCUUUAUCUUGGCCAGGUCGCAGUUGUAAAUGAGAACUUCUCAAAUAGCCUACCUGGUGAAAUAAAUAAAAUAAAAAUGUACACACAGAAAAUAAAAACACUUUCAACGGUGUUUACCCAUCCCCAUUAUGUUUGAGUCCUAUAUUGUAGUUACAGAAUUACUUAAUUGUUAAAUCCAUCAUGGUGGACAUAAAUAUGAGUCAGCUAUGAUGUCAGACAAAUCUGACUAAACUAUUUGAUGUGUACAGUAGGUGUUUGUUAGUGUGUGGGUAUAUGUAGGUAUAUUUAGUCCUAUAAUGGUCAUGAAGUGCUGUCAGGUGUAUGCAGAAUAGGUUGAGAUCAGAUGUGAUGUAUACUAAAGAGUCUUAAUGAGUCUUACAAUGUAAAGUCCCAUUUUGUGUUUAUGAAACAUAAGUUAAAUACACAUUAUGAAAACCACAAAUGCACAUGUCAACAAAAAAAGCAUGAGCUGCAUUUAUUAACUCAUUAAAAAUGGGAAAAAAUUAA
Salvelinus fontinalis (brook trout) is the source of this 2031-nucleotide long non-coding RNA. RefSeq lists it as uncharacterized. The transcript is spliced from 2 exons. The record is from RefSeq and is a predicted model, not a curated record. NCBI's taxonomy places the organism in Eukaryota, Metazoa, Chordata, Actinopteri, Salmoniformes, Salmonidae.